AGCUACUGAUGGAUCUACAGCCCCAAGUCUAUCUUUUGCUGUUUUUGUUGGCUAGCCUCAACCUUGGAGCCAUCCUCUCACCUCAGCCUCCCUGGGAGUCGGGAGUGAGUCUUCACAUGUGGUUGAGAAAGGCCUCUGCUACAGUCAUCAUCUCUGUUGGAACUGGCAUGGGAUCGAGGGCUUGGUUCCCACGUCUGGAUCCCCAAGCCUGCAGGAGGGAGGACAGGUGGGAGAGGACUCCCUGUCAUUGUGGCCAGGUCAGGUAUGGCUCCCUCCAUGCUGCAUGUCCCAGGCUGGCACGGCUGUUCCAGGAAUAAAGGCAAGGAACCACCAA
RNAcentral lists this long non-coding RNA (334 nucleotides) under Rattus norvegicus (Norway rat). Its description in RNAcentral is "long non-coding RNA NONRATT028461". The record is from RNAcentral. Lineage: Eukaryota; Metazoa; Chordata; Mammalia; Rodentia; Muridae.